GAGUUUGAUCCUGGCUCAGGAUCAACGCUGGCGGCGUGCAUGAGACAUGCAAGUCGAACGGACGCUUACGGGCUUGCCUGUAAGCGUUAGUGGCGGACGGCUGAGUAACGCGUAGGUGACCUGCCCUGAAGUGGGGAAUAACUGCCCGAAAGGGUGGCUAAUACCGCAUGUGGUGAUGCGUUCGAUCGCAUCAGUAAAGCCGCAAGGCGUUUCGGGAGGGGCCUGCGUCCGAUUAGCUCGUUGGUGGGGUAACGGCUCAUCAAGGCGACGAUGCGUAGGGGGUGUGAGAGCAUGACCCCCACCACUGGGAUUGAGAUACUGCCCAGACACCUACGGGUGGCUGCAGUCGAGAAUUUUCGGCAAUGGGCGCAAGCCUAACCGAGCGACGCCGCGCUCGGGAUGAAGGCCUUCGGGUUGUAAACCCCAGUUUUAUAGGAGGAAAUGCGGUGGGGUUCUCCCCAUCGUUUGACCUAUUCAAUGA
This 481-nucleotide ribosomal RNA is filed under the name uncultured soil bacterium. Its description in RNAcentral is "bacterial SSU rRNA". It matches the Rfam family "Bacterial small subunit ribosomal RNA", at positions 9 to 488 of the family's 1533-position model. The record is from RNAcentral.